GACGAACGCUGGCGGCGUGCUUAACACAUGCAAGUCGAGCGGUAAGGCCCUUUUGGGGGUACACGAGCGGCGAACGGGUGAGUAACACGUGGGUGACCUGCCCUCAGCUCUGGGAUAAGCCUGGGAAACUGGGUCUAAUACUGGAUAUGACCUUUCCUCGCAUGGGGGUUGGGGUGGAAAGUUUUUCGGCUAGGGAUGGGCCCGCGGCCUAUCAGCUUGUUGGGUGGGGUGAUGGCCUACCAAGGCGACGACGGGUAGCCGGCCUGAGAGGCGACCGGCCACACUGGGACUGAGACACGGCCCAGACUCCUACGGGAGGCAGCAGUGGGGAAUAUUGCGCAAUGGGCGGAAGCCUGACGCAGCGACGCCGCGU
This 373-nucleotide ribosomal RNA is filed under the name uncultured bacterium. Its description in RNAcentral is "bacterial SSU rRNA". It matches the Rfam family "Bacterial small subunit ribosomal RNA", at positions 28 to 402 of the family's 1533-position model. The record is from RNAcentral.